GGAGCAGAGACAUGCGGGUGAUGGAUCACAGGUGGAGGAAGAAGAAACUGAUCUCUCUGCAUGGUAUGAUCAAAUUAUUAACUGUGGUUUUAUUGGGGCCGUUAAACCUGAGGACAAAGAGGCCAUAAUAAGCAAAUCUGAGAAGGUCUUGAAGUCUACAAUUUUGUGGACAUCCUGGAAAACCAUUCAGGACUUUGCCACCAGUUCUUUUUCCCUGAUGUGGUGGAUGAUGAUGAUAAGGCUGAUGCAGACUUCAUCAUGCAGAACAUUCUUCCGAAAAUGUCGGAGAAGGGAUCAGUACAAGAGACUUAUGAAACCGCUAUAAUCAACUUUCUGCAAGACUUUCUCCAAGAAAUUGAAAGCUGUGUUAUGUAUGAACUGACAGAGUUGAUUUAGUAUAAAUAUUGUAAAAAAAAAACUAAAAAUUAAUGUUAAAAUGUAAUUGAUUUAAUUCAGACAAUAUCAACCCCAACCAAGCCAUUCAAUUUGACAACGGUUUAGACUGAAUUUAAAAUUAUACUAAAGGUAUGGAAUUGUACAUGUUCAGGAAAAU
Carassius gibelio (silver crucian carp) is the source of this 553-nucleotide long non-coding RNA. RefSeq lists it as uncharacterized. The record is from RefSeq and is a predicted model, not a curated record. The transcript has 4 exons. Lineage: Eukaryota; Metazoa; Chordata; Actinopteri; Cypriniformes; Cyprinidae.